Non-coding RNA from Pangasius djambal, 73 nucleotides. The record is from the annotation of a GenBank genome assembly. Lineage: Eukaryota; Metazoa; Chordata; Actinopteri; Siluriformes; Pangasiidae.
UAUAUGGUGGCUUAGUGGUUAGUACACUGGCCUCGCACUUCUGGGGUUGAGGGUUUGAAUCCCACCUCUGUCC